Molecule: non-coding RNA, 73 nt
Organism: Porphyromonas sp. HMSC065F10
Lineage: Bacteria; Pseudomonadati; Bacteroidota; Bacteroidia; Bacteroidales; Porphyromonadaceae
Source: Rfam
GCCUUCUUAGCUCAGUUGGUAGAGCUUCUGAUUUGUAAUCAGAUGGUCGUAGGUUCGAGUCCUAUAGAAGGCU